CACGUAGGGUGCGAGCGUUGUCCGGAAUUAUUGGGCGUAAAGAGCUCGUAGGCGGUGUGUCGCGUCGGCCGUGAAAACCUGCAGCUUAACUGUGGGCUUGCGGUCGAUACGGGCAUCACUGGAGUUCGGCAGGGGGAGACUGGAAUUCCUGGUGUAGCGGUGAAAUGCGCAGAUAUCAGGAGGAACACCGGUGGCGAAGGCGGGUCUCUGGGCCGAUACUGACGCUGAGGAGCGAAAAGCGUGGGGGAGCGAACAGG
Molecule: ribosomal RNA, 257 nt
Filed under: uncultured bacterium
Lineage: Bacteria
Description: partial 16S ribosomal RNA
Rfam family: Bacterial small subunit ribosomal RNA
Source: RNAcentral